RNAcentral lists this ribosomal RNA (240 nucleotides) under uncultured bacterium. RNAcentral describes it as "partial 16S ribosomal RNA". It matches the Rfam family "Bacterial small subunit ribosomal RNA", at positions 105 to 334 of the family's 1533-position model. The record is from RNAcentral.
CGGGGACCGGGGUGGGAGGUAAGUAGUCUGGAAGUAGCUCGAUGGAGGGGGAUAACUACUGGAAACGGUAGCUAAUACCGCAUAACGUCGCAAGACCAAAGAGGGGGACCUUCGGGCCUCUUGCCAUCGGAUGUGCCCAGAUGGGAUUAGCUAGUAGGUGGGGUAACGGCUCACCUAGGCGACGAUCCCUAGCUGGUCUGAGAGGAUGACCAGCCACACUGGAACUGAGACACGGUCCAG